UACGGAGGGUGCAAGCGUUGUCCGGAUUUAUUGGGUUUAAAGGGUGCGUAGGCGGCUAUUUAAGUCAGUGGUGAAAUCCUGCAGCUUAACUGUAGAACAGCCAUUGAUACUGGAUAGCUUGAGUACAGACGAGGUAGGCGGAAUUUAUGGUGUAGCGGUGAAAUGCAUAGAUACCAUAAAGAACCCCUAUUGCGAAGGCAGCUUACUAGGCUGUAACUGACGCUGAGGCACGAAAAGCGUGGGGAUCAAACAGG
This 254-nucleotide ribosomal RNA is filed under the name uncultured bacterium. RNAcentral describes it as "partial 16S ribosomal RNA". It matches the Rfam family "Bacterial small subunit ribosomal RNA", at positions 524 to 776 of the family's 1533-position model. The record is from RNAcentral.